RNAcentral lists this long non-coding RNA (215 nucleotides) under Lathyrus oleraceus (garden pea). Its description in RNAcentral is "Pisum sativum (pea) long non-coding RNA (PSAT_LNC023672)". The record is from RNAcentral. Lineage: Eukaryota; Viridiplantae; Streptophyta; Magnoliopsida; Fabales; Fabaceae.
UCAUGCUCGCUAGGCGAAGCCCACGUGUUUUGUAAAAAAAAAAAAAAACGAAAAACGAAAAAUAAAUAAAUAAAUAAAAGAAAAAAUCUUAGACUUGGACCUCUCUCAUUUGAGCCCACAUGUCCACAAAAAUCAGGUUAUAAAUUCAGAGUUUCAGUGAAACAAAAGGCCAUUCUAUUCCUAUUACCCUGGCUGGAAAAAGAUAGUGAGAGAAG